Non-coding RNA from Leptonychotes weddellii (Weddell seal), 1235 nucleotides. NCBI's taxonomy places the organism in Eukaryota, Metazoa, Chordata, Mammalia, Carnivora, Phocidae. The record is from RefSeq and is a predicted model, not a curated record.
GAAACAAAGUGUAUGACCUUCACUAAGGAAAUAAUUGACUAAAUGGUGGAAGAUUAAGCAACGCAGGCUAUUAUACAGCUAAAAGGGGUCCAUAAAACUGCAUGAGCCUUUUGUUCAGUGAGAUCCACCUGGCCCUUGACCUCCCCCUGACCCUUGACCUGUACCCUGUUCCAUGGGAAAGUGGAGCAGAAGGGGUCAGUGCUUUCUCUGGUUUUAGCCAUCGUGGUCUUUCAGCUUUGCCCUCCUGCAUGUGUUAGCUUUAUCCUCAGGAUGAUGGUGAGAUGGCCCUAGUAGUUCUAUCACCAGCUAGACCCAAGACCUGACCUUUACUGCUCACCUGUUUGUACCCAGCCACCUUUGUUCCAAGUUUUUCCUUCUUUCCAGCUUAUCUCUUAACUCAGGCAAGAGACCUGAGGGAAACCGAAGCUACCCCUCAAGCAGUAAUGACUGCCUGGAGGAGGAGCUCCACAGCCCCAGACCACCCAGACCAGUUUGAACUUAACUACUUAACUGCCCCUCCCCUUAAGUGUAUAAUACAUUAUUAGCUAUAGUCACCAAGCUGUACAGUAGGUCUCCAGAACUUAUUCAUCUCAUAACAAAAUGUGUACCUUCAACUAACAAAGAUAUUAUGAUUCAAGUCAACAUUUACACAACACAUAUUUGCCCUUUGUGUCAGCCUCCCCUUGAAAUUUGCUCAGAGUAGAUCUUAAGUGUUCUUACCACACACAUACACACACACACACACACACACACAGUAACUAUUGAGGUGAUGGAUAUGUUAAUUAGCUUGAUUGUGGUAAUUACACAAUAUAUAUCAAAACAACAUGUUGUACAUCUGCUAUGGUCUGAUGUUUGUGUCCCCCUGCAAAUUCAUGUGUUCAAAUCCGAGUGCCCAAUGUGGUAGUAUUAGGAGGUGGGGGCUUCAUGCUUACGUCAUGAAGGUAAAGCCCUUAUGAAUGGGAUUAGUGCCCUUGUAAAAGAGCCCAGAGAGCUAGCUUGCCUCUUCCGCUGUGUAAGCUGACACCUAGAAGGCACAGUCUAUGAACUAGGAGAUGGGUUCUCACCAGACACUACAUCUGCUAGUGCCAUGAUCUUGAACUUCCCAGCCUCCAGAAUUGUGAGAAAUAAAUGUUUGUUGUUUAUAAGACACCCAAUUUCUGGCAUUUUUUGUCAUAGGAGCCUGAAUGGACAACACCUUAAAUAUGUACAAUUUUUAUUUGUCAAUCACACCUCAA